AUUACUUAAACAUUAUACCAAUACAUAUACUCUUUAUUUUUAAUACUAUGUAUCGAAAUAUCAUGCUUUGAAAAUUCAUUUGAUAACAUAAUCAGUAAUUUCCAAAGUAAUGUUUACUAAAAUAAUAUGAUCUCAUUCGUUUAAUUGUAUUACAGAUAUUUUCCAUAGGGCUCGCAUACACUUAGGAGAAAGAGAAGCAGAUAGGUUUUCAGAUACAGAUUCAGAAUGGCCUUAGGUCGCCAACAGAUUCAGAACAUAUAGAGCGCGUCCGCCCUAACAGAACAGAAGACACCCACGUGUCUAGCAUAUGAUCAUAGUUUCUUAUCAGAAUGGCAUCAAAUGUCGAGCAUGCUCAUUAGACAGAAUAAAAAUCAAAUCACGCAUCAAAUUCACACUAAGUAUAUUAGAGCCCGAAAUCCUUAUUUUAAUUCUUACUUCAUAUCACUUAUCAGAAAACUUGUCUUAUUCGUUAGUCUUCCUAAAUUCAUAAUGUAAGCUUACUUUAGAAUCAUACUUAAACAUAAUUACUUAACAUAGACAAUUUCUUAUCAUAUGAAAUCAUGCAUGUAAGCUUACUUUAGAACUUAAGUAACUCAUAUACUUAAACAAAAUUACUUAAUAUAGGAAAUUUAUCAUAAAUCCCUUUUCUUUUAAAACUUUCUUAAAGUCAUAAUGAAAUUUAUCAUAAGAAAUUUCUUAUCAUAUAAAAUCAUAUUUUCUUUAUUCAAAAUUCAAAGCACAUACACCUUAAAUACCCAUUUCUUUGUUAAAACUCUAAACAUAUAAAAGUUAUCAAAUAAUCAUAUUUAUAUCAUAUAUAUAAAAUAAUUAAGUAAGCUUUACUACACCAAGGUGGUACCAAGGGGAGGAAUUUCCUUCUCCAAUCAAGCAUGCUAACACAACUCUUAUGCACAAAAGUAUCAAUUUCAACCCUCAUCAUGCNNN
RNAcentral lists this long non-coding RNA (945 nucleotides) under Jatropha curcas. RNAcentral's name for it is "long non-coding RNA (JCUR_LNC002629)". The record is from RNAcentral. Lineage: Eukaryota; Viridiplantae; Streptophyta; Magnoliopsida; Malpighiales; Euphorbiaceae.